This 1173-nucleotide ribosomal RNA is filed under the name uncultured organism. Its description in RNAcentral is "bacterial SSU rRNA". It matches the Rfam family "Bacterial small subunit ribosomal RNA", at positions 199 to 1402 of the family's 1533-position model. The record is from RNAcentral.
GAGUAAAGAUUUCGGUCGCUUUGGGAGGAGCUCGCUUACUAUCAGCUUGUUGGUAGGGUAAUGGCCUACCAAGGCUAUGACGGUUAGGGGGUGUGAGAGCAUGACCCCCAGCAUUGGCACUGAAACACUGGCCAAACACCUACGGGUGGCUGCAGUCGAGAAUCUUCCACAAUGGGGGAAACCCUGAUGGAGCGAUGCUGCGUGCGGGAUGAAGGUCUUCGGGUUGUAAACCGCUUUUGUAGGGGACGAAAUUUUUGACGGUACCCUUUCGAAUAAGAGGUUGCUAACUCUGUGCCAGCAGCAGCGGUAAUACAGAGACCUCAAGCGUUAUCCGGAUUUACUGGGCGUAAAGCGUCUGUAGGGGGUUUAUUAAGUUCCAAGUAAAAUUUCAAGGCUCAACUUUGAAUUCGCUUGGAAAACUAAUAAACUGGAGUCUAGCAGAGGUGCAUGGAACUUGUGGUGUAGGAGUGAAAUCCGUUGAUAUCACAAGGAACACCAAAGGCGAAGGCAUUGCACUGGGCUAGCACUGACCCUGAGAGACGAAAGCGUGGGGAGCAAAACGGAUUAGAUACCCGUGUAGUCCACGCCCUAAACGAUGAAUGCUAAAUGUUCGGGGACUCGACCCCCUGGGUGUUACAGCUAACGCGUUAAGCAUUCCGCCUGGGAAGUACGGCCGCAAGGCUAAAACUCAAAGGAAUAGACGGGGAUCCGCACAAGCGGUGGAGCGUCUGGUUUAAUUCGACAGUAAGCGUGGUACCUCACCAGGGUUUGACAUCCCUUGACAGCCUUGGAAACAAGGUUUCCUUCGGGCAAGGUGACAGGUGCUGCAUGGUCGUCGUCAGUUCGUGCCGUGAGGUGUUCCGUUAAGUCGGGAAACGAACGAAACCCCUAUUGCAUGUUACAAUUUCUCAUGCAAGACUGCCCGGAUAUACUGGGAGGAAGGUGGGGAUGACGUCAGAUCUGCAUGGUCCUUAUACCCUGGGCGACACAGGCGCUACAAUGGCAGAGACAAAGGGUUGCAAAACCGCAAGGUGAAGCUAAUCCCAAAAACUUUGUCUAAGUUCGGAUUGAAGGCUGCAAUUCGCCUUCAUGAAGCUGGAAUCGCUAGUAAUCGUGAAUCAGCCACGUCACGGUGAAUAUGUUCCCGGAUCUUGUACUCACCGCCCGUCACAC